UGGGGAAUAUUGCACAAUGGGCGCAAGCCUGAUGCAGCCAUGCCGCGUGUAUGAAGAAGGCCUUCGGGUUGUAAAGUACUUUCAGUCGGGAGGAAGGUGUCAAGGUUAAUAACCUUGGCAAUUGACGUUACCGACAGAAGAAGCACCGGCUAACUCCGUGCCAGCAGCCGCGGUAAUACGGAGGGUGCAAGCGUUAAUCGGAAUUACUGGGCGUAAAGCGCACGCAGGCGGUUUGUUAAGUCAGAUGUGAAAUCCCCGGGCUCAACCUGGGAACUGCAUCUGUUACUGGCAAGCUUGAGUCUCGUAGAGGGGGGUAGAAUUCCAGGUGUAGCGGUGAAAUGCGUAGAGAUCUGGAGGAAUACCGGUGGCGAAGGCGGCCCCCUGGACGAAGACUGACGCUCAGGUGCGAAAGCGUGGGGAGCAAACAGG
This 429-nucleotide ribosomal RNA is filed under the name Chloroflexota bacterium. RNAcentral describes it as "Chloroflexi bacterium partial 16S ribosomal RNA". It matches the Rfam family "Bacterial small subunit ribosomal RNA", at positions 355 to 776 of the family's 1533-position model. The record is from RNAcentral. Lineage: Bacteria; Bacillati; Chloroflexota.